GAUGAACGCUGGCGGCGUGCCUAAUACAUGCAAGUCGAGCGAACGGACGAGAAGCUUGCUUCUCUGAUGUUAGCGGCGGACGGGUAAGUAACACGUGGAUAACCUACCUAUAAGACUGGGAUAACUUCGGGAAACCGGAGCUAAUACCGGAUGAUAUUUUGAACCGCAUGGUUCAAAAGUGAAAGACGGUCUUGCUGUCACUUAUAGAUGGAUCCGCGCUGCAUUAGCUAGUUGGUAAGGUAACGGCUUACCAAGGCAACGAUGCAUAGCCGACCUGAGAGGGUGAUCGGCCACACUGGAACUGAGACACGGUCCAGACUCCUACGGGAGGCAGCAGUAGGGAAUCUUCCGCAAAGGGCGAAAGCCUGACGGAGCAACGCCGCGUGAGUGAUGAAGGUUUUCGGAUCGUAAAACUCUGUUAUUAGGGAAGAACAUAUGUGUAAGUAACUGUGCACAUCUUGACGGUACCUAAUCAGAAAGCCACGGCUAACUACGUG
Molecule: ribosomal RNA, 497 nt
Filed under: uncultured bacterium
Lineage: Bacteria
Description: partial 16S ribosomal RNA
Rfam family: Bacterial small subunit ribosomal RNA
Source: RNAcentral